RNAcentral lists this ribosomal RNA (460 nucleotides) under uncultured bacterium. RNAcentral describes it as "partial 16S ribosomal RNA". It matches the Rfam family "Bacterial small subunit ribosomal RNA", at positions 338 to 795 of the family's 1533-position model. The record is from RNAcentral.
CCUACGGGAGGCUGCAGUGAGGAAUAUUGGUCAAUGGACGAGAGUCUGAACCAGCCAAGUAGCGUGAAGGAUGACUGCCCUAUGGGUUGUAAACUUCUUUUAUAAAGGAAUAAAACGAGGCACGUGUGCCUUUUUGCAUGUACUUUAUGAAUAAGGAUCGGCUAACUCCGUGCCAGCAGCCGCGGUAAUACGGAGGAUCCGAGCGUUAUCCGGAUUUAUUGGGUUUAAAGGGAGCGUAGAUGGGUUGUUAAGUCAGUUGUGAAAGUUUGCGGCUUAACCGUAAAAUUGCAAUUGAUACUGGUAGUCUUGAGUACAGUUGAGGUAAGCGGAAUUCGUGGUGUAGCGGUGAAAUGCUUAGAUAUCACGAAGAACCCCGAUUGCGAAGGCAGCUUACUAAACUGUGACUGACAUUGAUGCUCGAAAGUGUGGGUAUCAAACAGGAUUAGAUACCCUUGUAGUC